This 468-nucleotide ribosomal RNA is filed under the name uncultured bacterium. RNAcentral's name for it is "partial 16S ribosomal RNA". It matches the Rfam family "Bacterial small subunit ribosomal RNA", at positions 28 to 507 of the family's 1533-position model. The record is from RNAcentral.
GACGAACGCUGGCGGCGUGCUUAACACAUGCAAGUCGAACGGAAAGGCCCUGCUUUUGUGGGGUGCUCGAGUGGCGAACGGGUGAGUAACACGUGAGUAACCUGCCCUUGACUUUGGGAUAACUUCAGGAAACUGGGGCUAAUACCGGAUAGGAGCUCCUGCUGCAUGGUGGGGGUUGGAAAGUUUCGGCGGUUGGGGAUGGACUCGCGGCUUAUCAGCUUGUUGGUGGGGUAGUGGCUUACCAAGGCUUUGACGGGUAGCCGGCCUGAGAGGGUGACCGGCGACAUUGGGACUGAGAUACGCCCCAGACGCCUACGGGAGGCAGCAGUGGGAAAUAUUGCACAAUGGGCGCACGCCUGAUGCAGCAACGCCGCGUGCGGGAUGACGGCCUUCGGGUUGUAAACCGCUUUCGCCUGUGACGAAGCGUGAGUGACGGUAAUGGGUAAAGAAGCACCGGCUAACUACGUG